CCUCCGUACCAAAAUUGAUUUUCCACUCCCAACUUUGACCAUUCGUCUUAUUUGAAUUUUUUUUAAAAAAAAUAAAAACAUAAGUUACGAGUAAAGUACUAUUCAUAUUUUAUCAUCUCAUAACAACAAAAAUGCUAAUUAUAAAAAAAUUUUAAAUAAAACGGACGAUCAAAGUUGAACACGGAAACUUAUUACUACACUAUUU
This is a non-coding RNA of Oryza glaberrima (African rice), 205 nucleotides long. Lineage: Eukaryota; Viridiplantae; Streptophyta; Magnoliopsida; Poales; Poaceae. The record is from Rfam.